GACGUAGGUGGCAAACGUUAUCCGGAAUUAUUGGGCGUAAAGGGUGCGUAGAUGGCCUGAUAAGUUAGCAGUGGGAAAUCGAGGCUCAACCUCGUGGAAGCUGGUAAUACUGUCAGGCUCGAGUGCAGGAGAGGUUAACGGAACUCCAUGUGGAGCGGUAAAAUGUGUAGAUAUAUGGAAGAGCACCAAUAACGGCGAAGGCAGUUAACUAUUCUGUUACUGACAUUGAGGCACGAAAGCGUGGGGAGCAAAACGG
This 256-nucleotide ribosomal RNA is filed under the name uncultured bacterium. RNAcentral's name for it is "partial 16S ribosomal RNA". It matches the Rfam family "Bacterial small subunit ribosomal RNA", at positions 524 to 776 of the family's 1533-position model. The record is from RNAcentral.